AUACGGAGGAUGCAAGCGUUAUCCGGAUUUAUUGGGUUUAAAGGGUGCGUAGGCGGUUUGCUAAGCGGGAGGUGAAAUGCCGGCGCUCAACGUCGGAAGUGCCUCCCGAACUGGUGGACUGGAAUGACUCUGCCGUGGGAGGAAUGUGUAGUGUAGCGGUGAAAUGCUUAGAGAUUACACAGAACACCGAUUGCGAAGGCAUCUCACGAAGGGUUGAUUGACGCUGAGGCACGAAAGUGUGGGGAUCAAACAGGAUUAGAUACCCUGGUAGUCCACGCAGUAAACGAUGAUUACUAGCUGUUUGCGAUACAAUGUAAGCGGCUGAGCGAAAGCGUUAAGUAAUCCACCUGGGGAGUACGUUCGCAAGAAUGAAACUCAAAGGAAUUGGCGGGG
RNAcentral lists this ribosomal RNA (393 nucleotides) under uncultured bacterium. RNAcentral describes it as "partial 16S ribosomal RNA". It matches the Rfam family "Bacterial small subunit ribosomal RNA", at positions 523 to 918 of the family's 1533-position model. The record is from RNAcentral.